This 640-nucleotide ribosomal RNA is filed under the name Sphaerobolus jaysukhianus. RNAcentral's name for it is "partial small subunit ribosomal RNA". The stretch from base 282 to 573 matches the Rfam family "Bacterial small subunit ribosomal RNA", at positions 557 to 873 of the family's 1533-position model. The record is from RNAcentral. Lineage: Eukaryota; Fungi; Basidiomycota; Agaricomycetes; Geastrales; Sphaerobolaceae.
UUUGAAUUUUGUAUUUAACAAAAAAAAUUCCUUUACCUUAAACAGAAUCCUGAAUUAGGUGUAAAGAACUUAGAUUAGUUCGGCGGGAAAAAAUUGAUAAUAUGAUGAGUUUAGGUAAUCAUAAAACACAAGAAGGAUUUGAGGAAAUAAAAGCAAUAGAAUCUGGAAUGAAUAAAGGUAGAAAGUAGAUAAAAUUAAAAAAUUGUAUGAAAAAUUUGAUGAUCCGUGGGUGCCAGAAGACUCGGUAAGGCCAGAAGCGCGAGCGUAAGUCAUCUUGAAAAGGCGUAAAGUGUGUGUAGGCAGCUUUGAAAAUCUCUUAACAGGGAAAAACUCAAAGAUUGAAUCAAAUAGAGGUCACAGUCCAGAUAAUUUUGUAAGGAAGGAUACAAUAUGCAGAUUUACAAAGGAAUACUAAUUAGCGAAUGCUCUUUUCCAACUAAUGAUUGACGCUGAGACACGAAGGUGAGGAUCGAAAAUAGAAUUUGGUACUCUGGUAUCCCUAUCUGUAAACGAUGAAUGGUAGUUGCUAGUUUAAGUAUUAGUGGCGAUGAUAACGCGUUAACCAUUCCCGCCUUGUGAGUACGGCCGCAAGCUUGAUAAACAUGAAAAACUUAGUCCGCCGUCGGGGAUUUUUUCCGCC